GACGUACUUCCUCCGUUCUGAACUACUUGUCGCAGGUAUGGAUGUAUCUAGAUGUAUUUUAGUUCUAGAUACAUCCAUUUCCUGCGACAAGUAAUUUGAAACGGAGGAAAUAAUAA
Molecule: non-coding RNA, 116 nt
Organism: Triticum urartu
Lineage: Eukaryota; Viridiplantae; Streptophyta; Magnoliopsida; Poales; Poaceae
Source: Rfam